This is a long non-coding RNA of Xenia sp. Carnegie-2017, 97 nucleotides long. RefSeq lists it as uncharacterized. The transcript is spliced from 3 exons. Lineage: Eukaryota; Metazoa; Cnidaria; Anthozoa; Malacalcyonacea; Xeniidae. The record is from RefSeq and is a predicted model, not a curated record.
AAGCAGUUGGUAUCAGCGCAGAGCUAAUGGAACAGGAAUGAAAUAAACUUCGAGACAAAGUGAUAUAACAUGUGACUCAUUCGUAGUCACAUGUGGG